AACGAACGCUGGCGGCAGGCCUAACACAUGCAAGUCGAACGCCCUAGCAAUAGGGAGUGGCGCACGGGUGCGUAACGCGUGGGAAUAUGCCCUUCACUGCGGAAUAACGUUUGGAAACGAACGCUAAUACCGCAUAAUGACUCCGGUCCAAAGAUUUAUCGGUGAAGGAUUAGCCCGCGUUAGAUUAGCUAGUUGGUGAGGUAAUGGCUCACCAAGGCGACGAUCUAUAGCUGGUCUGAGAGGAUGAUCAGCCACACUGGGACUGAGACACGGCCCAGACUCCUACGGGAGGCAGCAGUGAGGAAUAUUGGACAAUGGGCGCAAGCCUGAUCCAGCCAUGCCGCGUGAGUGAAG
RNAcentral lists this ribosomal RNA (354 nucleotides) under uncultured bacterium. Its description in RNAcentral is "bacterial SSU rRNA". It matches the Rfam family "Bacterial small subunit ribosomal RNA", at positions 29 to 410 of the family's 1533-position model. The record is from RNAcentral.